CCAGACGGUUGGACGGCCGCUGGCGGGAAACCACCAGAGGAAAGUCCGGGCUCCACGGGAAUACGGUGCCGGCUAACGGCCGGCGGGGGCGACCCCAGGGAUAGUGCCACAGAAAGCAAACCGCCACGGCUUGCCGUGGUAAGGGUGAAAGGGUGCGGUAAGAGCGCACCGCCUCGCCGGUAACGGAGAGGGCACGGAAAACCCCACCGGGAGCAAAACCGAAUAGGGGCGGCCGGCGACCUGUGGCAACGCAGGGGCGCGAAGCGAUUUCCGGCUUGCCGCCCGGGUUGGUUGCUUGAGGCGGGUGGCAACAUCCGUCCCAGAGGAAUGGCCGUCUAACGCUCGUUCGCGGGUGUGGACAGAACCCGGCUUAUAGACCGUCUGGGUCU
Molecule: RNase P RNA, 389 nt
Filed under: Rhodospirillales bacterium
Lineage: Bacteria; Pseudomonadati; Pseudomonadota; Alphaproteobacteria; Rhodospirillales
Description: RNase P RNA component class A
Rfam family: Bacterial RNase P class A
About the family: Ribonuclease P (RNase P) is a ubiquitous endoribonuclease, found in archaea, bacteria and eukarya as well as chloroplasts and mitochondria. Its best characterised activity is the generation of mature 5'-ends of tRNAs by cleaving the 5'-leader elements of precursor-tRNAs.
Source: RNAcentral